GUGGGGAAUAUUCCGCAAUGGACGAAAGUCUGACGGAGCAACGCCGCGUGAGUGAUGAAGGUUUUCGGACUGUAAAGCUCUGUUGUUUAGGACGAAAGUGCCUGUUGCAAAUAGUUACAGGUAUUGACGGUACUGAACGAGGAAGCCACGGCUAACUACGUGCCAGCAGCCGCGGUAAUACGUAGGUGGCAAGCGUUGUCCGGAAUUAUUGGGCGCAAAGAGCAUGUAGGCGGGAAUCUAAGUCUGUUGUGAAAAUGCGGGGCUCAACCCCGUAUUGCGAUGGAAACUGGGUUUCUUGAGUGCAGGAGAGGAAAGGGGAAUUCCCAGAGUAGCGGUGAAAUGCGUAGAUAUUGGGAGGAACACCAGUGGCGAAGGCGCCUUUCUGGACUGUGUCUGACGCUGAGAUGCGAAAGCCAGGGUAGCGAACGGGAUUAGAAACCCGAGUAGUCC
This 450-nucleotide ribosomal RNA is filed under the name uncultured bacterium. RNAcentral describes it as "partial 16S ribosomal RNA". It matches the Rfam family "Bacterial small subunit ribosomal RNA", at positions 354 to 796 of the family's 1533-position model. The record is from RNAcentral.